GUGGCUGUAGGAAGCAGCAGACGCUGGAGGUGGGUGUGGGCAGGGCCCCUGGGGGGCCUCUCAGGAACCUCCAAACAUCCUUGAGAAGUAGGCCGGGCUGCCCCAAACUGGGGCAGGUGCAGGGAAUCUGGGCCGGGGGCACCGUGGGUCCCCAGGGCUGGGCCUUGUGCACUGGUGCCUCUCUACCACCUGCCCCUGUGGGGAGAGUCCAGGGCAGGGCCACCGGGCCACCUCCAUCCCAUCGGCCUCUGGCUCUCAUGAGCACACGGUCCUUUGCCACCUCUGGACUGCACGACAGAUAAGUGGUGGGGCUGGGAUCCGCACUCAGGCCUCCUGGUGCCCGGGUUUGGCCUCUUUUCGGGUGUAUCACAUUGCCGUGGGGAGCGGGGACCCAGGACUGCCCAUCAGAGUCAACCAGCCCAGCCCAGGCUAGUGCCUGGCAUGCAGGACAGAUGCUCUGUAGAGAUCGUGGACUGCCCUGCUGACAUGUAAAGCACCCAGCAUGCAGUAAACGCUCAGCAAAUGGGAAACCAGCUUGUGGGUAAGUAUGUAAGACGGGUAGACGCAGACCUCCCCAGCCCCUCGGGCUCACUUCCUACCUCAUCUCCUCCAGGAAGCCUCCUAUGAUGCCACCUCCACCAAGCAAGCAAUCUUAUUUAUGAUCUUCUCCUGACCCCUCAUGCUCUGCUGUCCCGCUGGCAGGGUCCGAUUGACCUCCACAUCCUCUCCCACCUUCCCGCUCCCCAGGUCCCCUCGAGUGUCACAUUCCUCAGAUAGGACACAGAUUGGUGGGCUCCGGGAGCUGAGGACAGAGAGAGGGAAGGGAAGCCCCUGAGUAUCCUCCCUGGGACAGCCCCUUCUUCAGGAGAGAGACACCCAGACCAUGGGGAAGGGUUUGGACACAGGAGCCGUGCUCCAAGGUCUGGUCUGGCCCGGGGUCAGGCCUCACCUUCUGGACCUUGCUUUCCCCUGCACCGCCAGGGGACUGCCCAGCUUGGAGACACUCCAGGAAGGCUGCCCCUCUGUCAUCUGGGGUCCUGUGCCCGCCUCAGCCCCGUUUCUCGUCCUUUCACAUCUCAGGAAGCCCUCAGUCCUUCCCUGCCCCCUAACACAGGGCACUUUCUUUCUCAACCCCGCAGCCACACCUGUCUCCACAGAGCCUGGAAGACCCUUGCUAAGACUUCUGUGAGAAGGAGGCCUUGUUCUUGCUGUCUGCACAGUGCCCUCACCUGGCACCCCCAGCCCCAAGGGGUGUUCUCCCCCAAGAAGAUGGGCCCUGCUCUCCUCCCUUCCCAGCAUGAAGGCCAAAUGCCUCAUACAUGUGCGCACGUGUCUGUGAACUUCCAGCCUCAACAUGGCCCACACCGGCCUCUGCCAAUAGACUUGGAAUGAGGAGGGCAUCCCAGCUGGGCUCCUGAGGUUGAGGACAGCCAGAAGAGAAGGCUUGGAGCCCCAAGGCAGAGACCCAAGACCUAAGGUGACAAAUUCUACCGCCAAUAAUCGCUUGUGAAAAAUCAACAGUGAAGCCCAGCGGCUCCCGGCCUGGAGAAAUUUGAGUGGAUUUCCGGAAGAGCAAGGUGGAAAAAACCCAGGGGCAGCAGUGGGACCCAGGAGUGGGGGGGCCUGGGAGGGAGGGCUCCGCUCAGCACAGCGCAGGACCGGGCUGCACCUCGGGGGAGGGCCCCACUGUGCCCCACUCCUCCCAUCGCAUCACGAAGCCUUUGCAUAGGAUGAUCCCUCUGCCUGGAAUGGCCCUUCUUCUCCCCCUCCUCUACAAGACGACAGGGGGUGCGCAGGAGACACUGGGGAACAGGUGCUGCUAGAGGGAGGCUAGAGAAAGGGCAGUAAUGGCAGAAAGGGGCAGAUGGGCCUAUUCUGAAGGCCCUAAGCUGAAAUGCUGGGGAGGAGCUGGAUCACUUGCAGGACAAUAGGGAGCCAUGGAAGGUUUUUGAGCAGGAGAUGGAUAUGUGGAAAGCUCUGCUUCACUCGGCUUGUCCGUGCCUCUUCAAGUCUUCAGGGGAAGACUUGCUCGGUCUCCAGGGACCCAAGCCCUCAUCCUUUCUUGGGAAGGAGUGUAAAGAAUGCAUGGAGGUGCGGCGGUGAUGGGGUGCGAGGGGACAGGUUGGGAUGACUAACGCAGAUGGUAGGCCACCCCUGUGCCUGUCUUAUGUCAGGGUCAGGGCUCCUACAGGGCAGUGCAAAUGGCGAGUGGGUGAGCCGGGCUUGGAGCCCAGGUCUGUCUGACCACAAGGCCCCAGCAGGAGGAGGAUCCUGGUAGCGACCUGCCUGUGGGAAGAAUUCCCCUAAAUGGUCUCAUUUGUGCCUCUUCUUCAUUCUGAGGAGGGACUCUGUCCUCACUGACCCAUUUUGCAGACGAGGAAACCAAGGUUCAGAACUGUCAGGGGGUCGAGUUCACCAACGAAACCAGUAUUUCUGGCUUCUGAAGCAGUGCUUGGCACAUGGCAGGUGCUUAACGAAGGGAUGGGAGUCAGGCUUUGAGGCUUUGGACUCCAGAAUCAGUUCUCUCCAAAUAGCACCCAAGAGAUUUCUCGGAGAUGGGGCUGUUCUCAGACAGUGUGAAAACCCCAGAAAUAGAACUUUCCGGGAAACCUUCAACCAUCUUGGAAACAUGGCCCAGUGAGGGAAAGUGGCUUGCCUAGGGCUACAUAGCACACUAGUGACAGAGCAGGGACCAGGACCCAGGGCUUUAGACUCUCCUUCCUCCUCUAGGCCCAGGCUGGUGAGCACAGUGGGCUCAGCCCAGAGCUGGAGAGGAAAGGCAGGUACUGCCAACCUAGUUCCGACCUCCACAGCUGCACAGGAGGGCCUGAGACAGGCAAGGAGAGAGGAUGGCUGGCCAUAGUGGUGGAGCAGCAGGACUCCAGAGGGGACAGCAGUAAGGUGGGAGGGACUGAACUCCUUCAGCUCCUGCCCUACACCACUGCCGUGCGAGCCUCUGAGGCCCACCCGACCCACUCAAGACUGCACCGCCCCUCCCAUGCUGCCACAUCGCCACUAAGCACACAAUUUCCAUGGUGACCCCUGCCCCCUGGCUGCUGGUGAGGUCGGUGGGUGCCCCUCAUGGUCCGGCUCACUUGGUCUCUCUCCCUCUUUCUCUCCAUCCCUCUUUAUCCCUCCCCUUCUCCCUUCCUCUCUCCUUCUCGCUCUCAGUCCAGUCUCUGCCCUGCUGCCCUCCAUCCAUCUAGUUCUCUCCUAGACUUCAGCUUCAGACAGACGUGGUUUGAAAGCUGCAGCCCCGGCCUUCCUCAAUUGUGUGACCUUGGCUACGCCCACGUGCCCAUUGCCUCACCUGGGCCUCACUUUUCUCAUCUGUACCAUGGAGUUGGCACCCCUGGCUCUGGCCUCAAGGUUUGCCGUGCCUGCAGAGGCCCCUGAGCAUUCAGCAGGUACUCACUCAGUGGGAGCUGCCAGACGCAGAAUGUGUGAUGGGAAUCAUUGGAUGCGGCCGCCUCUCCACCCACCCGCCACCUGACACCGCCUCCUGGCUCUCCAUCACUGCCCAGGAGUCGGGCAGCCUCCCCGCUCCCUGCUAUUUCUUCUCUGGAGCUUCCCAGGAGGUUAAUAGCAGCUUCUCACCAGGAUAUUUGGCUUUUUUUAGGAAUCUCCUUGCCUCUUUCUUCUCUGUGAGGAUAUUCUCAGGAUGGCUGUGGCAGAGAAGGGAAGGAAGGAGACUCUCUAGGCAUUUGCCAACUAAGAGGGGCACUUAGGAGUAGGUGGGGUGCCAGUUCCAGGCAGGACUUGGGGCAGACAGUGCCCUGUUUCCAGAACAGCUCCCAGUGCUGGGCUGGGCUGGGCUUAAAUGCAGUGGGAGAAGCUCAGGGGUGGGGUGGGGUCACAGGCUCCACUUGGUCAUUUGAGUAUGGGGGUGUCUGUGAGCCCGGUGGGGCCUCAGUCUCCCCUCCUGGAAGGUGGGCCUGAUGAUCUAUGCCAGCCUCUAAAGGAAGGGAAAGAGUUUCGCUGAGCUGCAGGUGGAGGUGCAGACAAGGUGAGGGGCUGGAGUCAGGGGAGGCCAGCAGAGCGCCCAGGACCCCUCUGGCUCCACCCCAGGUCCUUGGGCUCCACCUGCUCUCAGCCCUGUCCUGAGCCCAGGAAUGGUCCCAGGACUGAGAAGGAGGUCAAAACUCUGCAGCCCUUCCACUACUACUUCGGGGGGCUCAGCACAGCUCCUCCGGGCUCAUGUCCCCAGGCCCUUCCCCGGUGUGACCCCCCCAACCAGCCCCGCACAGGAGCGGAGGUCCACCUCUUAUGUGUGUGUUUUAAAUUGCAGUAAAAUGUACGUAACAUGAAAUUGACCAUUUUAGCUUUGUAAGUAUACAGGUCCAUGGCAUUCGGUACAUUCACAAUCCCGUGUGGCCGUGACCAUCAUCCAUUUCCGGGGCUUCUGCAUGAUCCCGAAUAGAAGCUUGCAUGCCCUGUGCCACGCCCCCUCCCACCUCAACCCCCCCGUAACCGCUGGUCUUCGUCUCUAUGAAUUAAACUAUUCCAGGUACCUCCCAUCAGUGAAAUCAUAAAAUAUAUGUUCUUUUGCA
Molecule: long non-coding RNA, 4550 nt
Organism: Cercocebus atys (sooty mangabey)
Lineage: Eukaryota; Metazoa; Chordata; Mammalia; Primates; Cercopithecidae
Exons: 2
Source: RefSeq, a predicted model, not a curated record